RNAcentral lists this transfer RNA (76 nucleotides) under Balneolaceae bacterium. RNAcentral's name for it is "tRNA-Lys". It matches the Rfam family "tRNA". From Rfam's summary of the family: Transfer RNA (tRNA) molecules are approximately 80 nucleotides in length. Lineage: Bacteria; Pseudomonadati; Balneolota; Balneolia; Balneolales; Balneolaceae. The record is from RNAcentral.
GAACCGGUAGCUCAGUUGGUAGAGCAACUGCCUUUUAAGCCGUGGGUCGAGGGUUCGAGUCCCUCCCGGUUCACAA